Molecule: small nuclear RNA, 107 nt
Organism: Heterocephalus glaber (naked mole-rat)
Lineage: Eukaryota; Metazoa; Chordata; Mammalia; Rodentia; Bathyergidae
Source: Ensembl
GUGCUUGCUUCGGCAGCACAUAUACUAAAAUUGGAAGGAUACAGAGAAGAUUAGCAUGGGCCCUGCUCAAGGAUGCCAUGCAAAUUCAUGAAGCGUUCCAUAUUUUU